CUUGCUUUCUUUGCUGGCGACCGGCGCACGGGUGAGUAACACGUAUCCAACCUGCCCUUUACUCGGGGAUAGCCUUUCGAAAGAAAGAUUAAUACCCGAUAGUAUAAUGAUUCCGCAUGGUUUCAUUAUUAAAGGAUUCCGGUAAAGGAUGGGGAUGCGUUCCAUUAGGUUGUUGGUGAGGUAACGGCUCACCAAGCCUUCGAUGGAUAGGGGUUCUGAGAGGAAGGUCCCCCACAUUGGAACUGAGACACGGUCCAAACUCCUACGGGAGGCAGCAUG
RNAcentral lists this ribosomal RNA (279 nucleotides) under uncultured bacterium. RNAcentral's name for it is "partial 16S ribosomal RNA". It matches the Rfam family "Bacterial small subunit ribosomal RNA", at positions 75 to 353 of the family's 1533-position model. The record is from RNAcentral.